AUGUCACCUCUGCCAGCCGCGUCCAGCACGGACCCGGCCUGCGGCAGCCCAGCCUCCRCGCUGGGUCUCUGGGGAAGCUGCCUCACGGGCGGCACCUCCCGACUGCAGGUCCCCAGGCCAGUGGGGAUCCGGCUCCGGCCCACGGAAAAUGUGCCCGAAAGGCAUCCGGUCCUGAUGGUGACACAUCCUCUGCAAGRGCAGUGCUGCACGGGACCAGCCCCCAGCUGCCCCCGACCUGCCCCUGCCUCUUCCAGCCAGGAGCUCUGCGGCGUCUGGUGCACCUGCGGGAUCUGCAGGCAGCCUGGGCAGUCCAUGGGCAGCCUGCGGGGUCUGCAGGGUCUGCAAGGUCCAUGGGCAGCCCGUGGGGUCUGCAGGGUCUGCAAGGUCCUUGAGCAGCCCGUAGGGUCUGCAGGGUCUGCAAGGUCCACGGGCAGCCUGCGGGGUCUGCAAGGUCCAUGGGCAGCCCGUGGGGUCUGCAAGGUCCAUGGGCAGUCCGUGGGGUCUGCAGGGUCUGCAAGGUCCAUGGGCAGCCCGUGGGGUCUGCAAGGUCCAUGGGCAGCCUGCGGGGUCUGCAGGGUCUGCAAGGUCCUUGAGCAGCCCGUAGGGUCUGCAGGGUCUGCAAGGUCCAUGGGUAACUCAUGGGGUCUGCAAGGCCCAUGGGCAGCCUGUAGGGCCUGUAGGGUCUGCAAGGUCCAUGGGCAGCCUGUAGGGUCUGCAGGGUCUGCAAGGUCCAUGGGCAGCCCAUGGGGGUCUGCAGGGUCUGCAAGGUCCAUGGGCAGCCCAUGGGGUCUGCAGGUCUCUGGGCAGCCCGCGGGGCCCCUGGGCCCCCUUUUCCCUUCGGCUCCCGAAGCUCCCGUGAGAGGCGGCACUGCCAGCUCCUUCCUCCGGGCAGCAGCGGCCCCGCGGAGCUGCCGGGCGCUGGAUGAACAGCGGGAUUGUUCUGCGGCUCCCGGCACCGUGCAGCCGYGGCACGGGGCAGCCGCAGGCGCCAGCGCAGCCGCCGGGGUGGCACCGCUCAUGGGGGGGACGACGGGGGAGGCUGGUGGCUGGCGGCCCGGCUCCCGCUGCCGGGGCACAAAGCGCCUCUAUCGCUCGCUCCCCGCUGGCAGCUCCACGUGCUCCGCGCAAAGCCCGGCGCAGAGCCGGCCCGAGCAGCGGCUGCACCUCCCGAACGCGCUGCGGAAACACGGGGGCACCAGCAGCCCCCAGACCUGGGCAGCAAAGCCGGGAGAGCAGGAACCCAGCACGUCCCAGCGCUCCCAGUGCUCCGCAGGCAGCGAGGGGCAGUGCCGGGGGGCUGCCCUCCUGCCGCCGGGCGGGCACGCAGCCGCCGCGAGCCCCCGCGGUGCCGAGCCCCGGAGGAGCCGGUGCUCCACGUCCAGGCCAAGGGGACGGCGGAGGGAAGGAGCGGCCGGCACGGAGCUUCGGCGGUGCCCAGCGUGGGGCUGGUGGCCUUGGCGGAGGCUGCGCGGGGAGGGACGGCGGUGGGGCUGGGUGCAGGCUCAGAGGGACAGGGGACCCGGGGGCUCCRGUGUUUAG
This 1539-nucleotide long non-coding RNA is filed under the name Dromaius novaehollandiae (emu). RNAcentral's name for it is "lncRNA (ENSDNVG00000012579.1)". The record is from RNAcentral. Lineage: Eukaryota; Metazoa; Chordata; Aves; Casuariiformes; Dromaiidae.